CCUACGGGUGGCAGCAGUGGGGAAUAUUGGGCAAUGGGCGCAAGCCUGACCCAGCAACGCCGCGUGAAGGAAGAAGGCUUUCGGGUUGUAAACUUCUUUUGUCAGGGACGAAGCAAGUGACGGUACCUGACGAAUAAGCCACGGCUAACUACGUGCCAGCAGCCGCGGUAAUACGUAGGUGGCAAGCGUUAUCCGGAUUUACUGGGUGUAAAGGGCGUGUAGGCGGGGAGGCAAGUCAGAUGUGAAAACCACGGGCUCAACCUGUGGCCUGCAUUUGAAACUGUUUUUCUUGAGUGCUGGAGAGGCAAUCGGAAUUCCGUGUGUAGCGGUGAAAUGCAUAGAUAUCACGCAGAACUCCGAUUGCGAAGGCAGCAUACCGGCGCUCAACUGACGCUCAUGCACGAAAGUGUGGGUAUCGAACAGGAUUAGAUACCCGAGUAGUC
Molecule: ribosomal RNA, 443 nt
Filed under: uncultured bacterium
Lineage: Bacteria
Description: partial 16S ribosomal RNA
Rfam family: Bacterial small subunit ribosomal RNA
Source: RNAcentral